GAGCUGGAAAGCUAUCUCUCGGCAGACCUGAUGGUGUCUGUCUCCAGAUUGCUCCUCCUCUGGCAUUCCCCAUCCCAGAACCACAAUCCAGGGGAGCCCCAACUUCUCCCCACUCACCCAGGAUGAGUCCGACAAAGUCCCAAGGACUCUGCCUCCAAAAUUGAUCUUGAAUCAGCUCAUCCUCUCUUCUGCUUAGCCCAGAAAGACUUACCUUAUCUCUCACCUCGAGUCUUCAUCUUUCUGACCGUUGGCUUAAACCUUUGUCACCGGACCCCAACGUCGGUUGAGUCAGUCUCCAACAAGGGUUUUCCUGCCUGGUGUUCUUUAAGCCAAUUAACGGGACCAAAUUUGGUUCAGGAGCCAAGGAAAGCUUUCUUUUUUGGACAGAAACAGCUCCCAGCGGGCUCUAAAGCAUACCCAGCCAUGCACCUGAGGCUCCCGGCUCCCCGUGGUCCCCACGUGCUCCUGGACAGGCUGUGGGAGGGGCUACUGUGUAGGGAUCUCCUGGCGGAGGGGGCGGAGUUCCCUGCGGCUGGAGACCGGUGCUCUGCUGAGGCUCCAGGCAGCGUCUCCGCACACAGCGGCCACCACCAUCCUAGACUGAGUGUGGUGAGCAGUGCUUCUCCAAACGGCCUGGAGCUGAGACGUCAGUACUAGGGGCUCUGGCCCCCGGUGCUUGGGGCAAAGCGUCUACAGGCAGCCCUCUGUGAGCAAGUGAAAGGGACUGAACACAAAGGACUAAAGAAAGAUACUAGCAAAAUACAGCAGCUGCACCAUGUCCAUAGGAACGAGAUGUCCACUUAAUUAAAGCAUGGCCAGGCGGCGGGCGUCUUCUGCAGGGGGAGACUCAGCAUACUGGGUACUGACCGAACCAGACCUGCUGCCAAGAGAAAGCGUGGUCAGCAGGGAGCACCAGCUUGCCUCUCCAGGAAGAUGGGCUCCAGAGCCUACUUGGGUGAAAAAAGAAAAGGAAACUGGUAGGGUGAGAGGAAAAGGAAGAAUUGGGGAAUACAUUUAGCUGCUUAUCACCUGCUGAGGGAACUUCUAAGAACCAAUGUCCGAUUUCACUCUGCAGUCCUGAUGCCAUUGGUCUGGAGCAUGGCCUGGACAGCAGGAAUUUUAAAAGCCGCUCAGGACAUUCUGAAGUUUAAAGAAGGUGUAAAACUGGGGAAAGUAGAGCUCCAGGUAUCCGUGUGGAUUUGAGCAACAAUCUUCCUUACCAAAUUGCCGGCUUGGAUAAUCAUGUCUCAAGCUUCAAAGAUGGAGCAUAAUGUGGUGGUUGAAGAACUAAUCUUCCUUAUUUUGGAUUCUAGAUCUGCUGUUUACAAACCGUGUGACCCUGGCCAUGAUACUUAAUAUCACUGAGUCUCAGUUCUCUUGUCUCUUAAGUGGGUAUAAGUGUGGCAACUAUGAUUAUGAUGCUAUUAUGAUGUUUAAGGGAGAUGAUCCAUGUAAAUAAUUUAAGCUUAGGUUUUCUCAUAUAGCCUUUUCUCCCAGUAAAGACUGAUUAAAAUGAAAUUUAAACUUCAUAUGGUUCUAAGUGACCUCUCUUGAUUUAUUCUGUUGGUGUAGAUGGGAACUGGCUUGUUCAGAAACCUCCCUGGAUGAUUCUAACGUUCAGCUGGGGUCGAGGAGCAAUCUUGGUGUCUGAUUCUGCUUUCCCUGUUCUCGUAGGAGCUUCCCAGGUACCUCUCUCAGUGGUCUAGUCCUCAGGCUUGUUUCAGGGCCACUUCUAAACAGCUUUGAAUCCACAUAGUUUUCCUUUUGCUUUUAUAAUUCUUGUGUUUUUUUAAUCAGAGUAAAUGUGGAUUAUUACUUCUAUUUCAUUGUUUUUAUUUUUCUAAUGGCCAUUUUCCCCGAUUUUAAGAACCCAUGUUUAUUUUAUUCCCCACACAGAGACAAAAUAAUGAAAAUAUUAUAUUUUUGUCCAAAUUUCUAUGUAUCAUGUGUCUAUAAAUGGAAGUUUUAAAAUUGCAAAGGUAGUUUUGAAAGUUGCUUCUUUUGCUUCACCUUAUAUCAUAAGCACAGUCUCAAAUGCUACGGAUUUUUGGAAGUAUAAUAAUUUAUUCUGUUUGUCAUUCUGAUGUAUCCCACUGUAUUUUACCAUUCCCUUACUAUCAGCAGUAUUGGUUUCCUUGGGCUGCCUGAACCAAAUACCACAGACUGGGGUGGCUUAAAACAACAGAUAUCUAUCCCCUCAGAGUUCUAGAGGUUAGAAGUCUGCAGAAGGUGUAGGCAUGCUUGAUUCCUCUGGAAACUCAGAAGAAGAAUCUGUCCCCUGCUGCUCUCCCCACUUCUGGAAGUUGCCCCAGCCUCUGGUGCCCCUGGGCUUGUAGACACAUCACUCUAUUGUGUCUCCCUCUUCACGUGCUUUUGUGUCCCUCUGUGUCUCUGAGUCCAAGUUUCCCUCUUCUUAUAAGCUCCUCUCUGACCCAGCAUGACUUCUUCUUAACUUGGGUUAUAUCUGCAAAGACCUUAUUAUAAAAUAAGAUCACUGUUACAGGUACUGAGAGUUAAGAAUUGUAUUGUUUUGAGGGACGUGAUUCAACCAGGUAUAUCAGCCAUUUAUGACUUCCAUCUGCCUUUUUAAGGGACCAGUAAAGGUUUACCCAACAAUACUGGUCUUCUCAAUACUUCUACAUUUCAGCUCUUUAUAGUUUCCCGCCCUGCUGUGAGUUCACACAGGUGCUGAGGAAGCCAGGCCAAGGGUAGAAAUGGGGCCGAGUGUUCACUUCUGUCCUCCCUAGAUGCCCACCUUCCCUGGAGCAAGCUGGGUGCCUGUCUGGGAAGUCCAGGAGGGGCGGGCUGAGGCAGGGAGGGAGCCACAGGUGGUGGGAGCAUGGCUUCCUGCAGCUGCCUGGCCACCUGGCUGGACAGCUGUUCUCCCGACCAGGGAGCUGUGGAUGGCAGGGCUGCCUGGCUUAUCACGGCCUCGGAGAGUUACAUGAUGCCAAAAUGCCUGGUCGAAUCUGUCAGUUCUUGUGAGCAGCCGUUUUAGGGGGUGGAGGAGUGGCACCGGGGGCAUGGAAUCUCCAAACUGAUUGUUUAUAGUGCCUGCUCAGUUUAGACAAGUAUUGACCCGAGGACACCCGCAGUCACUGGUUCAGCUGGGAUUGUCUGUUCCAGGGGUCAGCUUACUACACCCUGCAGGUCAGGCCUGGCACACUGCCUGCUGUGUACAGGGAGCUAAGAAUUGCCUUUACAAGUGAACAUCUGCAAUUGAUUUGAUGAUGGGAGCCCUGACUUUGAAUCCCAAGUAAACAAAAACGUUCGUUAUCCUCCACCCUCAAUGAAUUUCAUUCUUCUCACGAUUAGAUCUUUAUUAUAAAAAAUUCAUACUCAAUGAUCAUAUUUUGAAUUUCAUCAAUAAAAAAUUCCUGGAAAACUUUUUUUCUAUCUUAUUAUGAAAGUAUGUGUUAUAUUUCCAGUACUACCUCUAGGCCUGCAAAGUCUAAAAUCUCCACUAUCUAGCUCUUAACAGAAAAAGUUUGGCAAUCUUUGGUCUGGCC
Long non-coding RNA from Bos taurus (domestic cattle), 3509 nucleotides. The record is from Ensembl. NCBI's taxonomy places the organism in Eukaryota, Metazoa, Chordata, Mammalia, Artiodactyla, Bovidae.